Molecule: ribosomal RNA, 477 nt
Filed under: uncultured bacterium
Lineage: Bacteria
Description: bacterial SSU rRNA
Rfam family: Bacterial small subunit ribosomal RNA
Source: RNAcentral
CUACGUGCCAGCAGCCGCGGUAAUACGGAAGGUUCGGGCGUUAUCCGGAUUUAUUGGGUUUAAAGGGAGCGUAGGCCGGAGAUUAAGUGUGUUGUGAAAUGUAGACGCUCAACGUCUGACUUGCAGCGCAUACUGGUUUCCUUGAGUACGCACAACGUUGGCGGAAUUCGUCGUGUAGCGGUGAAAUGCUUAGAUAUGACGAAGAACUCCGAUUGCGAAGGCAGCUGACGGGAGCGCAACUGACGCUGAAGCUCGAAGGUGCGGGUAUCAAACAGGAUUAGAUACCCUGGUAGUCCGCACAGUAAACGAUGGAUGCCCGCUGUUGGUACCUGGUAUCAGCGGCUAAGCGAAAGCAUUAAGCAUCCCACCUGGGGAGUACGCCGGCAACGGUGAAACUCAAAGGAAUUGACGGGGGCCCGCACAAGCGGAGGAACAUGUGGUUUAAUUCGAUGAUACGCGAGGAACCUUACCCGGGCU